This 1334-nucleotide ribosomal RNA is filed under the name Ascochyta medicaginicola. RNAcentral describes it as "eukaryotic LSU rRNA". The stretch from base 428 to 1334 matches the Rfam family "Eukaryotic large subunit ribosomal RNA", at positions 1 to 925 of the family's 3401-position model. The record is from RNAcentral. Lineage: Eukaryota; Fungi; Ascomycota; Dothideomycetes; Pleosporales; Didymellaceae.
CUCUUACCCAUGUCUUUUGAGUACCUUACGUUUCCUCGGCGGGUCCGCCCGCCGAUUGGACAAUUUAAACCAUUUGCAGUUGCAAUCAGCGUCUGAAAAAACUUAAUAGUUACAACUUUCAACAACGGAUCUCUUGGUUCUGGCAUCGAUGAAGAACGCAGCGAAAUGCGAUAAGUAGUGUGAAUUGCAGAAUUCAGUGAAUCAUCGAAUCUUUGAACGCACAUUGCGCCCCUUGGUAUUCCAUGGGGCAUGCCUGUUCGAGCGUCAUUUGUACCUUCAAGCUCUGCUUGGUGUUGGGUGUUUGUCUCGCCUCUGCGUGUAGACUCGCCUCAAAACAAUUGGCAGCCGGCGUAUUGAUUUCGGAGCGCAGUACAUCUCGCGCUUUGCACUCAUAACGACGACGUCCAAAAGUACAUUUUUACACUCUUGACCUCGGAUCAGGUAGGGAUACCCGCUGAACUUAAGCAUAUCAAUAAGCGGAGGAAAAGAAACCAACAGGGAUUGCCCUAGUAACGGCGAGUGAAGCGGCAACAGCUCAAAUUUGAAAUCUGGCGUCUUUGGCGUCCGAGUUGUAAUUUGCAGAGGGCGCUUUGGCAUUGGCAGCGGUCCAAGUUCCUUGGAACAGGACGUCACAGAGGGUGAGAAUCCCGUACGUGGUCGCUAGCCUUUACCGUGUAAAGCCCCUUCGACGAGUCGAGUUGUUUGGGAAUGCAGCUCUAAAUGGGAGGUAAAUUUCUUCUAAAGCUAAAUACUGGCCAGAGACCGAUAGCGCACAAGUAGAGUGAUCGAAAGAUGAAAAGCACUUUGGAAAGAGAGUUAAAAAGCACGUGAAAUUGUUGAAAGGGAAGCGCUUGCAGCCAGACUUGCCUGUAGUUGCUCAUCCGGGGUUUCUACCCGGUGCACUCUUCUAUAGGCAGGCCAGCAUCAGUUUGGGCGGUUGGAUAAAGGUCUCUGUCAUGUACCUCCUUUCGGGGAGAACUUAUAGGGGAGACGACAUGCAACCAGCCUGGACUGAGGUCCGCGCAUCUGCUAGGAUGCUGGCGUAAUGGCUGUAAGCGGCCCGUCUUGAAACACGGACCAAGGAGUCUAACAUCUAUGCGAGUGUUUGGGUGUCAAGCCCGAGCGCGUAAUGAAAGUGAACGGAGGUGGGAACCUUUCGGGGUGCACCAUCGACCGAUCCUGAUGUCUUCGGAUGGAUUUGAGUAAGAGCAUAGCUGUUGGGACCCGAAAGAUGGUGAACUAUGCUUGAAUAGGGUGAAGCCAGAGGAAACUCUGGUGGAGGCUCGCAGCGGUUCUGACGUGCAAAUCGAUCGUCAAAUUUGGGCAUAGGGGCG